UCUUGGUCAUUUAGAGGAAGUAAAAGUCGUAACAAGGUUUCCGUAGGUGAACCUGCGGAAGGAUCAUUAAAGAACGGUUAGGGAUGUUGCUGGCCUGGCAUGCAGGCAUUUGUGCACUCCCUGAAACACUAUUCUCUCUCACACCUGUGCACUUUUUGUAGGCAUGUCAGAGGUAUUCUCUCUCUCGAGCCUAUGUAAUGUCUUUACCAAACACCACUGAAUGUUUGAAAAAGUUAUUUGUUAAUAAAUAAUUUAAACACAACUUUCAACAAUGGAUCUCUUGGCUCUCGCAUCGAUGAAGAACGCAGCGAAAUGCGAUACGUAAUGUGAAUUGCAGAAUUCCGUGAAUCAUCGAAUCUUUGAACGCACCUUGCGCCCCUUGGUAUUCCGAGGGGCAUGCCUGUUUGAGUGUCAUUGUAUUCUCAACUUGAAUCCGCUUUGUGGUGUUCAAGCUUGGAUGUGGAGUUUGCUGGCCCUUUUGGUGACAACCCCAAGGUCGGCUCCUCCGAAAGGCAUUAGCGAAGCAACCUCUCGUAUUGCGAAGGAGCGCCGGACACUGAUAAAGAUCUAUGCCUCGAGUGCCUUCCUGAGCGAGUUUGUUGUUCGCUUACAGUCGUACAAACAACUUAUUUUGACAAUUACCUCAAAUCAGGUAGGACUACCCGCUGAACUUAAGCAUAUCAAUAAGCGGAGGAA
Molecule: ribosomal RNA, 696 nt
Filed under: Hygrocybe constrictospora
Lineage: Eukaryota; Fungi; Basidiomycota; Agaricomycetes; Agaricales; Hygrophoraceae
Description: eukaryotic LSU rRNA
Rfam family: 5.8S ribosomal RNA (bases 261-414)
Source: RNAcentral